RNAcentral lists this ribosomal RNA (497 nucleotides) under uncultured bacterium. RNAcentral describes it as "partial 16S ribosomal RNA". It matches the Rfam family "Bacterial small subunit ribosomal RNA", at positions 28 to 507 of the family's 1533-position model. The record is from RNAcentral.
GAUGAACGCUGGCGGCGUGCCUAAUACAUGCAAGUCGAGCGAACGGACGAGAAUCUUGCUUCUCUGAUGUUAGCGGCGGACGGGUGAGUAACACGUGGAUAACCUACCUAUAAGACUGGGAUAACUUCGGGAAACCGGAUCUAAUACCGGAUAAUCUUUUGAACCGCAUGGUUCAAAAGUAAAAGACGGUCUUGCUGUCACUUAUAGAUGGAUCCGCGCUGCAUUAGCUAGUUGGUAAGGUAACGGCUUACCAAGGCAACGAUGCAUAACCGACGUGAGAGGGUGAUCGCCCACACGGGAGCGGAGACGCCGUCCAGACGCCUACGGGAGGCAGCAGUAGGGAACCGUACGCAGUGGGCGAAAGCCUGACGGAGCAACGCCGCGUGAGUGAUGGAGGUCUUCGGAUCGUAAAACUCUGUUAUUAGGGAAGAACAUAUGUGUAAGUAACUGUGCACAGCUUGACGGUACCUAAUCAGAAAGCCCCGGCUAACUACGUG